AGCAGCCGCGGUAAUUCCAGCUCCAAUAGCGUAUAUUAAAGUUGUUGCAGUUAAAAAGCUCGUAGUUGAAUUUCGGGAUUUGCACAUCGGUCGUGCCUUAAGGGGUAUGAACUGGUGUAGUGAAUUUCUCACCUUCUGGAGAACCGUGAUGUCCUUAAUUGGGUGCCACGAGGAACCAGGACCUUUACUUUGAAAAAAUUAGAGUGUUUAAAGCAGGCAUUUUUGCUUGAAUACAUUAGCAUGGAAUAAUAAAAUAGGACGGCAUGAUUCUAUUUUGUUGGUUUCUAGGAUCACCGUAAUGAUUAAUAGGGAUAGUUGGGGGCAUUAGUAUUCAAUUGUCAGAGGUGAAAUUCUUGGAUUUAUUGAAGACUAACUACUGCGAAAGCAUUUGCCAAGGAUGUUUUCAUUAAUCAAGAACGAAAGUUAGGGGAUCGAAGACGAUCAGAUACCGUCGUAGUCUUAACCAUAAACUAUGCCGACUAGGAAUCAGACGAUGUUAAUUUUUUAAUGACUCGUUUGGCAUCUUACG
Molecule: ribosomal RNA, 529 nt
Filed under: uncultured Glomeromycotina
Lineage: Eukaryota; Fungi; Glomeromycota
Description: SSU rRNA
Rfam family: Eukaryotic small subunit ribosomal RNA
Source: RNAcentral